CAUGUUCAAUUUUCUUUAAUUAUAUUAAUUCUUCAUUUGGAUUUUUCAGAUGAGUACCGACAACGGCACUCACAUUCAUCUCAGCGAAAGUAUACCUCCAAUACAGCCAGUUCAGGAUCAGGUUCAUAUCCAGCGCCGAAUUGGAGUGAAUUUUUACCACCUCCUCCUAAUCAUCCUCCUCCUCAUAGAGACUCGCCAAGAGGUUAUCCUCAAGGAGUUAUUUGUUCAAGUCCUCAAAUGUCAAAGAGGAGCGCCUGCAAUCUAGCCAAUACACCAACUCCGCCUUUAAGGAGUGGAAGUAGUUGCAAUGGGUAUGCACCAUCGUGGAUUGGUUCGAAUCCACCUCCACCAGACGAACAUCCUCCUCCUGUAAGUCACGAUACUAUUUUAGCAACAAAGAUCUUCAAUUUUUCACCCUUUAGUUUUAAUUAAAAGUCAUAAACUUGGACACUUAUUGUAGGACGCAUUUUUAUUUCAUUUAACUAUGAGGAGGAGGAGAGAAGCUGUCUAACUGGCUGAUAUCGGCGUUCUACGUCCUAUUGGAGGAGUUUAAGCGUUUACGCUGACUUGUCUGACAGAGGCUGACACUGGAAUGGUUUGGGAUAGUGUUCAUGUGAAUGGAAGGGGAAGAAUAAGCCCAUUUUUGAAAAGCCUGUCGAUUUAAAUUUCAUCUGGGAUACCUAACAAAACUAAAGUCAAGAAAAAUUCCCAAUUCCUAAAAUUUUCUUGAAUUAGGAUUCCCAUUCUUCACAAACUUUGAAUUUCUGCUAAGUCAGGAAAUUUUGCCUCACAACGGGGAGACUCUCCAGCUUAAAUGGAAAUUUGAAAGUGACAAAAUUUUAACACUAUUUUUGAAGCUCUUCAUUGCUCACAUUUCCUACAAAUUGCCUCCACUAAUAUUGUCUAGGAAUGUAUUGUAUACUUCAGAUUUUAUCUAAUGUUACUUAUACUUUUUGUUACAGGUACCGUGUUUUCCGGUGAAUUUUUCUAAUUCUGUAAAUAGCUGUGGUUCAAAUCACUGUCACAACUCUGGACGAAGACGUUGUGAAAGUAAUCAUCAAAUAGCUGCCGAAUCUGACUA
This 1081-nucleotide long non-coding RNA is filed under the name Bemisia tabaci. RNAcentral's name for it is "lncRNA ENSSSA3NGG000550". Lineage: Eukaryota; Metazoa; Arthropoda; Insecta; Hemiptera; Aleyrodidae. The record is from RNAcentral.